RNAcentral lists this ribosomal RNA (468 nucleotides) under uncultured bacterium. Its description in RNAcentral is "partial 16S ribosomal RNA". It matches the Rfam family "Bacterial small subunit ribosomal RNA", at positions 28 to 507 of the family's 1533-position model. The record is from RNAcentral.
GACGAACGCUGGCGGCGUGCUUAACACAUGCAAGUCGAACGGAAAGGCCCUGCUUUUGUGGGGUGCUCGAGUGGCGAACGGGUGAGUAACACGUGAGUAACCUGCCCUUGCCUUUGGGAUAACUUCAGGGAACUGGGGCUAAUACCGGAUAGGAGCUCCUGCUGCAUGGUGGGGGUUGGAAAGUUUCGGCGGUUGGGGAUGGACUCGCGGCGUAUCAGCUUGUUGGUGGGGUAGUGGCUUACCAAGGCUUUGACGGGUAGCCGGCCUGAGCGGGUGACCGGCCACAUUGGGACUGAGAUACGGGCCAGACGCCUACGGGAGGCAGCAGUGGGGAAUAUUGCACAAUGGGCGGAAGCCUGAUGCAGUAACGCCGCGUGCGGGAUGACGGCCUUCGGGUUGUAAACCGCUUUCGCCUGUGACGAAGCGUGAGUGACGGUAAUGGGUAAAGAAGCACCGGCUAACUACGUG